AUGCACGCUGGCGGCGUGCUUCACACAUGCCAGUCGCACGAUGAAGCCCAGCUUGCUGGGUGGAUUAGUGGCGAACGGGUGAGUAACACGUGAGUAACCUGCCCUUGACUCUGGGAUAAGCCUGGGAAACUGGGUCUAAUACUGGAUAUGACUUCUCAUCGCAUGGUGGGGGGUGGAAAGAUUUAUUGGUCUUGGAUGGACUCGCGGCCUAUCAGCUUGUUGGUGAGGUAAUGGCUCACCAAGGCGACGACGGGUAGCCGGCCUGAGAGGGUGACCGGCCACACUGGGACUGAGACACGGCCCAGACUCCUACGGGAGGCAGCAGUGGGGAAUAUUGCACAAUGGGCGCAAGCCUGAUGCAGCGACGCCGCGUGAGGGAUGACGGCCUUCGGGUUGUAAACCUCUUUCAGUAGGGAAGAAGCGAGAGUGACGGUACCUGCAGAAGAAGCGCCGGCUAACUACGUG
RNAcentral lists this ribosomal RNA (465 nucleotides) under uncultured bacterium. Its description in RNAcentral is "partial 16S ribosomal RNA". It matches the Rfam family "Bacterial small subunit ribosomal RNA", at positions 29 to 507 of the family's 1533-position model. The record is from RNAcentral.